This is a long non-coding RNA of Myotis lucifugus (little brown bat), 231 nucleotides long. RefSeq lists it as uncharacterized. The transcript is spliced from 2 exons. NCBI's taxonomy places the organism in Eukaryota, Metazoa, Chordata, Mammalia, Chiroptera, Vespertilionidae. The record is from RefSeq and is a predicted model, not a curated record.
AUUUGACCCUAGUGACAUGAUAAGGUGGAUGCUGAAUAACCUCUCUCCCUUCUUUCUUUUCUCUUCUAGUGUGAAGAGUGGCCAGAUUAGAAAUCUGGAGUCUGCCCGUGUCUCCAUGGUUGGCCAAGUCAAAGAGUGUGAAGGAAUUACAAGUCCAGAAGGCUCAAAAUCUGUAGUGGAAGGAAUCAUAGAGGAAGACGAAGAUGAUGAAGAAGGAAGUGAAUCAGUAAA